Molecule: unclassified non-coding RNA, 224 nt
Filed under: Hevea brasiliensis (rubber tree)
Lineage: Eukaryota; Viridiplantae; Streptophyta; Magnoliopsida; Malpighiales; Euphorbiaceae
Source: RNAcentral
GGGCAAAAAUAUGCACAUGAACAAGCAGAUCCAACAAUGAAGAGAAUCAGAAAUCUUGGUAUCAGAAAAGCAGGACGCAGAAUGUAUAUAGAAGGAAAUACUGGAAAGUGUAGAAAAAUCUCGAAGCAACAAUGAUGAAAGGUGAAGAAGUAAAUGAAAGCUUAUAAAAAGAUAAAAGUUGAAGGUUAAUAUUUAUAAUACCAGAACGUAGACAAAGAAAUAUG